GGGACCUCCUGAACCUCUUGAGUCCUGCAGUGGAGUGAGAUGAACCUCUGCAGCUCCUACUGUGAGGAUGCUUAGGCGAUCACCAACACCAGCUCCUUGGUGUUGGUGUUCAGCAGAAGACUGUUCUUAUUACUGCAGUCAGUUAAAUAAAUCUAUCAUAAUAAAGUACAUUUUAACAUAAUGACCUUAUGUUUAUUUAUGUCUUUUAACCAUUAUUUCAAAUUCAAAGAAUCCUGUUUGAAACAUUUAUUAAACUUAUAGAAUUAAAUUUCUGCUAGUUGCUUUUUGUUGCAAAAAAAUCUAGUAUAAUAAUAUUUAAAUUUACAUAUAUUUUUCACGUUUUCCAUGCCAAUUUUGUGUAAUUGCGGAGUUUCCCACUACCCGUGAAUGCCUCUUUUUUUAACGUCUCUGCCUGACUCCUGAAUCUCCGUCCACUCUCAGCUCGAUCCCCACCGAGUGAAAGAGAUCUUUGGUUUUGCCUUUGCUGACUGCUGAUCUGAUCGUCUCCAGUCUGGUGACCUGCUGCAGAAAACCCUCUCCCUCUAUCAUUAACAAGCCAUUAACAAGCAAAUUCAGUCUGUCCUAUCACUCUCCCUCUCCCUGCUCCAUCUUUUUUGACAAGCCAUUCUAUCUUCUAUCCAUUCUCCGCCAUGUACUCUAUCUAAUUUUGACAAGCAUAAGCCCUAGUUUGACAAGAAACCAAGUUUGACAACAAACCAAGGUUGACAACAAACCAAGUUUUUGGAAAUUGAAGUUACCGCAACUUCGACGAUCUGUUUUCAGAAAUCUGAGAGAUCUCUGCUCUCACUGCUCCUUCUUUCCUGUCGUUAAACUCUCUCAUAUCCACUCAUUUUACUGGAAAUUACAAGUAAGAAGUUGAAUAUACAGUAUAGUAGAAGUCACUGUAGAAACUACUUACACAGCCCUACAUUUGUCAUUUUAAUUUUGCAUUACACUUUGGAAUAAACAUUGAUUGGCUUACAGGUGCAAUUGCUUUGAUAAAUUAUAUAAAAUAUACACCUCUUAAAGGUUUAUUUGUAAUAAGACAAUCUGGUUAUUUUGUAAUAUAUACAUUCAGACUGCUCUAUUUACAUAAAUAUUAAAUUAGAUUCAAAUACAUUUUUCAAGUCUGUUUCAUUGACUAUAACAUUUGACUACAGUAAGUUUAUACUAAUAUUAUUUAAGGACAAACCCAUUUCUAUUACUCAGUGUAAGUAUUGAGUUACAAUUGUCAUUGAGAAGCUGCCCUGAGGACCCAGACUUCCUGUUUCCUGACUGCUGCAGAACAUCCAGCUGAAGAAUCCUCAUCGCCUGUCAUCUGAUCACCACACCACCACAGCUCCAUAUAUUUGCUUUAAAUUUUAGAUAUCUGAAAGAUUUACACAAAGUCUACUUCAAAGCUAAGACUUUUAUUAUAGCCUGUUGAUUGUUGAGAUUUAUUCUGCAUAUUACUUCACAGAAGUAUAGACCUAUUCAUUAACCAGUCUGGUUAAAAAAAAGAAGUAAUAAUAUACAGUUGUUGAAAAAGCUACAAUAAAACGUUUUUAAGGAUCUUUCAAUAACUUUUAUAUUGAGUUUGUAUUUAAGCCAGCCUUUUACAUCAAUUAAACGGUCAUAAGAACA
This is a long non-coding RNA of Astatotilapia calliptera (eastern happy), 1623 nucleotides long. The record is from Ensembl. Lineage: Eukaryota; Metazoa; Chordata; Actinopteri; Cichliformes; Cichlidae.